AAUAUGGUGAUCAAUUAAUUUUUGAUAAAGAUUUAAUUAAAUACAAAAUUUUUCAAUUUAAAUUUACUUUUAAUUUGGCCCAUAAGUUGAAAUCCAAGCAGCUAACUUGGUAGAGAUGAAGUCUCAACGUUUAAGAUUUCAUUUUGCUGAAUGUUGCCUGAUAAACGAGUAUCUGUUAGUCUGUUGAAGCUUUCAAUAUCUCGCACUUGACCUUUUAUUAUUGUUUUACACUUUAACUGACCAAGUUAAUUGUUACCAUUAGGUAAUGUUAGAUCACUGUUGGUUAAUAUUUUCUUCUUGUUUUUCUUGUAUCCAUUUACUUUGCUCGGGUUUCUUCAUUCUUGAGCUGUUCAUUCAUCCAUAUUGUUUAAGGUUUUUUUUUGUUUUUCUGGUGAUAUUACAUUUGUAUUAUUUGUACUUUUUUUUGUUGAUCUUUGGUUUCGCAAAUUGUAAGUAUUGUAUUAAACCAUAUUACAAUUUUGUUGCUGUCAGUAUCAUUUUGAUGAUGAUGGUGGUGCUUGUUGUUUACCCAAAUUAUUUACUCUUCAUAGUUAAUUUAGUUGAGUUGUUUUUAUACGUUUAGCCCCCUUAACAAUUAAUCUAAUGAUUGUUGCUGCAAGUUAAUACAAUAAUAUUAUACAUUUGAGCAUUCCAACAUUUCCAGUUGUUGGUAUAGCAAUCCUGUAUUGAGGGAAACCAAUGUAAACAAAGCUAAUCGAGUCAUCUUUAGUUUCCCUGGGAUUUUCAAUUUUGGUUGUAAUCGUUUCAUCGAAAUGCGUUUGGAGAUUGAAUGCUCAAAAACUGGUUUACUUUGGGUUCAUCGUCAUUGUAAAGACUCAAUCAAUCAACCUGUUAAUCCAGAAAGACUGUAAUGGUUUGCUUGGCAGAAACACUCCUUUUCACCCAAUCGUUGACUGCUUGGUGACUUGCCUUAGGAAUCAAACGGUACUUUUUUUGGUAUCGCAAGUUAACCAGUUUCUAGGAUCCUUAAGUUAUCGACUUGGAAGAGCUUUUUUUGGUUUUUCUCAUGGAACCAUGGUCAUUAUUCAAGUCUAACAUCUAGUCUGGUUAUUUGGGAACCUGGCCUUUUGUAACAAGUCCGCUUAUCGACUGAAUUUUGAAUUUCUGAGAAGAUUCUGGUUUAGUGUCCUUUUGUGUCUUUGGAUAAUAUUUGGGAAUAUUCAAUGGAUGGUGUUUAAUCAUACGAUGCAAGCUGGACUCAUCAAAUUAUCUGAUUAUUUAACCAAGUAAAUAGUCUUGAAAGUGGUAGACAUUUGCUGUUAUUGAUUUUAUUUCAACAAUUAAACCCAAUCCAAGGAAAACAUUUACAUUAAAUGAACAAACCUUUUUUUGCUUGUUUACUUAUUAUUCAAUGGAAA
Tetranychus urticae (two-spotted spider mite) is the source of this 1379-nucleotide non-coding RNA. Lineage: Eukaryota; Metazoa; Arthropoda; Arachnida; Trombidiformes; Tetranychidae. The record is from RefSeq and is a predicted model, not a curated record.